RNAcentral lists this ribosomal RNA (971 nucleotides) under Enterococcus faecium. Its description in RNAcentral is "partial 23S ribosomal RNA". It matches the Rfam family "Bacterial large subunit ribosomal RNA", at positions 153 to 1125 of the family's 2925-position model. The record is from RNAcentral. Lineage: Bacteria; Bacillati; Bacillota; Bacilli; Lactobacillales; Enterococcaceae.
AUUGUGUGAAUACAUAGCACAUUCGAGGUAGACGCAGAGAACUGAAACAUCUAAGUACCUGCAGGAAGAGAAAGAAAAUUCGAUUCCCUGAGUAGCGGCGAGCGAAACGGGAAAAGCCCAAACCAGCAAGCUUGCUUGUUGGGGUUGUAGGACUCCAAUAUGGUAGUUCUUUCAGAUAGUCGAAUGACUUGGAAAAGUCAGUCAAAGAGGGUAAAAACCCCGUAGACGAAAUGUGGAAGACACCUAGGAGGAUCCUGAGUACGGCGGAACACGAGAAAUUCCGUCGGAAUCCGGGAGGACCAUCUCCCAAGGCUAAAUACUCCCUAGUGACCGAUAGUGAACCAGUACCGUGAGGGAAAGGUGAAAAGCACCCCGGAAGGGGAGUGAAAUAGAACCUGAAACCGUGUGCCUACAACAAGUCAAAGCCCGUUAAUGGGUGAUGGCGUGCCUUUUGUAGAAUGAACCGGCGAGUUACGAUUGCAUGCGAGGUUAAGUUGAAGAGACGGAGCCGCAGCGAAAGCGAGUCUGAAUAGGGCGUUUGAGUAUGUAGUCGUAGACCCGAAACCAUGUGAUCUACCCAUGUCCAGGUUGAAGGUGCGGUAAAACGCACUGGAGGACCGAACCCACGUACGUUGAAAAGUGCGGGGAUGAGGUGUGGGUAGCGGAGAAAUUCCAAACGAACUUGGAGAUAGCUGGUUCUCUCCGAAAUAGCUUUAGGGCUAGCCUCGGAAUUGAGAAUGAUGGAGGUAGAGCACUGUUUGGACUAGGGGCCCAUCUCGGGUUACCGAAUUCAGAUAAACUCCGAAUGCCAUUCAUUCAUAUCCGGGAGUCAGACUGUGAGUGAUAAGAUCCAUAGUCGAAAGGGAAACAGCCCAGACCACCAGCUAAGGUCCCAAAAUAUAUGUUAAGUGGAAAAGGAUGUGGGGUUGCACAGACAACUAGGAUGUUGGCUUAGAAGCAGCCACCAUUUA